AGAGUUUGAUCAUGGCUCAGAUUGAACGCUGGCGGCAGGCCUAACACAUGCAAGUCGAACGGUAGCACAGAGGAGCUUGCUCCUUGGGUGACGAGUGGCGGACGGGUGAGUAAUGUCUGGGGAUCUGCCCGAUGGAGGGGGAUAACUACUGGAAACGGUAGCUAAUACCGCAUAACGUCGCAAGACCAAAGUGGGGGACCUUCGGGCCUCACACCAUCGGAUGAACCCAGAUGGGAUUAGCUAGUAGGUGGGGUAACGGCUCACCUAGGCGACGAUCCCUAGCUGGUCUGAGAGGAUGACCAGCCACACUGGAACUGAGACACGGUCCAGACUCCUACGGGAGGCAGCAGUGGGGAAUAUUGCACAAUGGGCGCAAGCCUGAUGCAGCCAUGCCGCGUGUAUGAAGAAGGCCUUCGGGUUGUAAAGUACUUUCAGCGGGGAGGAAGGUGGUGAGGUUAAUAACCUCAUCAAUUGACGUUACCCGCAGAAGAAGCACCGGCUAACUCCGUGCCAGCAGCCGCGGUAAUACGGAGGGUGCAAGCGUUAAUCGGAAUUACUGGGCGUAAAGCGCACGCAGGCGGUCUGUCAAGUCGGAUGUGAAAUCCCCGGGCUUAACCUGGGAACUGCAUUCGAAACUGGCAGGCUCGAGUCUCGUAGAGGGGGGUAGAAUUCCAGGUGUAGCGGUGAAAUGCGUAGAGAUCUGGAGGAAUACCGGUGGCGAAGGCGGCCCCCUGGACGAAGACUGACGCUCAGGUGCGAAAGCGUGGGGAGCAAACAGGAUUAGAUACCCUGGUAGUCCACGCCGUAAACGAUGUCGACUUGGAGGUUGUGCCCUUGAGGCGUGGCUUCCGGAGCUAACGCGUUAAGUCGACCGCCUGGGGAGUACGGCCGCAAGGUUAAAACUCAAAUGAAUUGACGGGGGCCCGCACAAGCGGUGGAGCAUGUGGUUUAAUUCGAUGCAACGCGAAGAACCUUACCUGGCCUUGACAUCCAGAGAACUUAGCAGAGAUGCUUUGGUGCCUUCGGGAACUCUGAGACAGGUGCUGCAUGGCUGUCGUCAGCUCGUGUUGUGAAAUGUUGGGUUAAGUCCCGCAACGAGCGCAACCCUUAUCCUUUGUUGCCAGCGAUUCGGUCGGGAACUCAAAGGAGACUGCCGGUGAUAAACCGGAGGAAGGUGGGGAUGACGUCAAGUCAUCAUGGCCCUUACGGCCAGGGCUACACACGUGCUACAAUGGCGCAUACAAAGAGAAGCGACCUCGCGAGAGCAAGCGGACCUCAUAAAGUGCGUCGUAGUCCGGAUUGGAGUCUGCAACUCGACUCCAUGAAGUCGGAAUCGCUAGUAAUCGUAGAUCAGAAUGCUACGGUGAAUACGUUCCCGGGCCUUGUACACACCGCCCGUCACACCAUGGGGAGUGGGUUGCAAAAAGAAGUAGGGUAGCUUAACCCUUCGGGGAGGGCGCUUUACCACUUUUGUGAUUCAUGACUGGGGGUGAAG
This 1495-nucleotide ribosomal RNA is filed under the name Pantoea sp. Its description in RNAcentral is "bacterial SSU rRNA". It matches the Rfam family "Bacterial small subunit ribosomal RNA". Lineage: Bacteria; Pseudomonadati; Pseudomonadota; Gammaproteobacteria; Enterobacterales; Erwiniaceae. The record is from RNAcentral.